This is a long non-coding RNA of Homo sapiens (human), 1745 nucleotides long. Ensembl annotates it as long intergenic non-protein coding RNA 1206. Lineage: Eukaryota; Metazoa; Chordata; Mammalia; Primates; Hominidae. The record is from Ensembl.
AGACCUUGACAGUUGUAACCGAUAGACUGGGCUGGGGCAACGCUGAUGAAAGGCAAAUUCCUGAGAGAAAAAUCACCCAGAUUUUUCAGUGCCUUCUCUAGCUUUCUAGAAGUUGUUAUGAGUGGACCUGACUACCUAGAGAGAGUAAUACAGAAGCUCCGUGCCGAUCACAGCUACCUCAUUACCAUGUUCCUCCAAGAUGGCCGCCCCUGAGGAGAAUCAUCAACUGGGCUUUACGGAAGAGAGAAAUCCAAACGACCAUCAGCAACAAAUGAAAGACUGAAGUUGAAAGUUUCAAGAUUGUCAAGAAUGACGAGUUGGACUUGGUCUAGUUACUUCCACAGCAGCAGGAGGAACAUGUGUGUGACUCAGGAUAACUGGGGAAGCCUUGGCUAGGCUUUCCUCAUGUCAACCUACCACUCAAAGGGAGAAAACCUCCUGAUCAGAGGAAAUCCAUAAUUUUUGAAUGCUGGCCGAGGUCUGUGACCUCUGACUGAAUGGUUUCCAAGCUCCGAAUUCCUAGGUGAUGUUUUCAUUUGUUCACACUUGCUGAAGAAGGGAAAGGCUCUCUGAUUUACGUGUAAGCAAAACAAUCUAAACAGUAGGAUAAAAUCAUGUUGGAAUGGAGUUCUGUGUGGAUGCUCCUUUGAACCAAAUCAGUUCCACAACUGACCCUGUCAGGGACAUAUAAAUUUAGCAUUUUGGUGUGGAUACAGAAGACGAGAUUAACACAGAUCAAGUAACAUGGAAAUAAAAAAGGAGACAAUGCUGGAUGAUACAGGGGCAGCCAACAAGAGGAGAAAACCCAAGCAUUGGCAAAUGCCUCAUUAUCCAAAGAACACUGUAAAAGAAAGCCUGAGGAGGCUUUCCCCUCUGAGUUUUUCCGUGGAUUGCUGGACUCUGAGGCCCUCAUUCCUCUUGCAGGAGGUGUGGAGCAAAACUGUGUUGAAUGAACUGUAGAUGGAAAUUCUCUCCUUCCCACCGAGGAGCCGCUGCAGGUUGCAGACUCCCAGAAUGCCACACUGAGAAGAGGAGGGCUAAAAUUCUAGAGCAGAAUCCCUGGGGCAGCCCCUGCUGAAGAAGGGUGCAUCUGUUGAGAAUCUCAUCACCGCCCCCACCCCGCCCAGCCUUCAAUUUAGAGGAAUUUCUAGUUCACGCAGAAUGAAGACAAGAUCACAUAAGUGAGGACGACGCCCCAUUUACAAGUGUGAUUUGGAAGACUGAAGUGGAAACCUUGGGAAGGGGCCUCAGAGUAUGUCAGCUGGGGUCAGACGGGAACAGGAGUCUGGCUCAACACACAUUUAUUGCACUCCUGUUUCAUGCCAAGAAAUGUACCAAAAUCUGGGACUGUGUAACACAGCAAAGGAAAAGACUCAUCUCCAGGAAGCCCCCUUGUCUAGGAAGAGAAAUUGAAUAUCAGCAUAAGGUGGUGAAAAGCUGUGAAGGAGAUGAGUGCCAGGAGUCCAUGGAGGAAGGAUUCUAGCCUGGACAGAGUCUCCAUGAAUUGCAAGGGAAAACAAGUGGUACACUGGUAUUUCUAUUUGAUAACCUGUUCUCUUUGGAAUUCCGGUUAGAAAUCAAAGGCUUACUUGAGUUUUAAUGCUUUCGGGACUUCAAAUGCUUUUCUAUCUUCCUAAUAAUAUAUUAACAUUUUCUGAAGACAACAUAUAUGUGGAAAACAACAUUAUUUACUCAAAUAAUUUUUUUUGAAAAAUGGACCAAAAAAAAAGAAAAACCAACAAAAA